GCUCCCGGCGUACGGCAGAACAUAUACUAAAAUUGGAACGAUACAGAGAAGAUUAGCAUGGCCCCUGCGCAAGGAUGAUUUUGGUAAUAAAAUUCAAUGAUUU
This is a small nuclear RNA of Eupeodes corollae, 103 nucleotides long. NCBI's taxonomy places the organism in Eukaryota, Metazoa, Arthropoda, Insecta, Diptera, Syrphidae. The record is from RefSeq and is a predicted model, not a curated record.